Sorex araneus (European shrew) is the source of this 354-nucleotide non-coding RNA. The record is from the annotation of a RefSeq genome assembly. Lineage: Eukaryota; Metazoa; Chordata; Mammalia; Eulipotyphla; Soricidae.
AUGGCCUGGACCCCGCUCCUCCUGGGCCUCCUGGCUCACUGCACAGGUUCUGUAUUUUCCUAUGAGGUGAAUCAGCCGCCCUCAUUAUCUGUGAGGCCGGGAGGGGAGGCCAAGAUGACCUGUGCGGGAAACAGCAUUGGAAGCUAUAAUGUUCAAUGGUACCAGCAAAAGCCAGGCCAUGCCCCUGUGCUGGUCAUCUACAAUGAUAAUAAACGGCCCUCGGGGAUCUCUGACCGCUUCUCUGGCUCCAACUCUGGCAACCUGGCCACCCUGACCAUCACAAGAGUCCAGGCUGAGGAUGAGGCCGACUAUUACUGUGCACCAUAUGGUACCAUUGACGGCAGCGUGCAGUGA